Molecule: long non-coding RNA, 742 nt
Filed under: Vulpes vulpes (red fox)
Lineage: Eukaryota; Metazoa; Chordata; Mammalia; Carnivora; Canidae
Description: lncRNA (ENSVVUG00000006522.1)
Source: RNAcentral
GGCAUAUUCACCUCUUCUCACACAUACUGUACGUUGGAUGUCAUCAAGCCUUUUUUUUUAACUGAAAUAUAAUUGGUAUACAAUAUUAAUACAGUCUUUUUUUAGUUCAUUGGUGUACCCAUCUCCAUGCAAGUUUUGGUAAGGGGAGACAAAAGAAGAAGAAAUUCUAGUGUUUGAUGUCAUCAUCAUCAUCAUCAUCAUCCCAAACAUUUAUUAAAAACCUUGGCCAGUCAUCUGAGAUAUCACCUUACUGGCAAGACUACAUGGCACUUAGACCACACUGCUUAAUGGACUCCUGUGAGAGGAAAGGGGUUGGCUCAUCAAGCAAGAUGGUCUCUCUGAAUCAGAUCUGCUUGGUGCAAGUGCGAAAGAGACCACAGAUGGAAGCUCACAGAUGGAAGCCUGCUGAUCAUACAGCUGUUUCUUUGUUGUUUCCAAGUCCAACAAACCAAGAUACAAUAUGGCGACGAGGUGAGUCCUUGGAUCUCCCCUUGCCUGUAAACUUACCGAGCUUGAAGGCAGAAGGUGUUAAGCUGUUUGUAUCAUGCAGAGGCAAUUUUGCAAGACCACAGGAAAGAAGGAAAAGGAAGGAAAAACAGGAAAGACUCUAGAAAUCUAGACCUAAAACUGAGGCACCAUGUAGGCUUACAGGUUUCUUUGAGAUCUUUCAAAGUGCACUGAAUGUAGAUCUCCCAAAAAGGGUGGAAAAUAAAUCUAUGUUGUCAUUGUUUAAAACUCCCCA